AACGAACGCUGGCGGCAGGCUUAACACAUGCAAGUCGAACGCACCGCAAGGUGAGUGGCAGACGGGUGAGUAACGCGUGGGAACCUUCCCUUUGGUACGGAAUAACCUCGGGAAACCGAAGCUAAUACCGUAUAUCUCCUACGGGAGAAAGAUUUAUCGCCAAAGGAUGGGCCCGCGUUGGAUUAGCUAGUUGGCGUGGUAAUGGCGCACCAAGGCGACGAUCCAUAGCUGGUCUGAGAGGAUGAUCAGCCACACUGGGACUGAGACACGGCCCAGACUCCUACGGGAGGCAGCAGUGGGGAAUAUUGGACAAUGGGGGCAACCCUGAUCCAGCCAUGCCGCGUGAGUGAAGAAGGCCUUAGGGUUGUAAAGCUCUUUUGGCGGGGACGAUAAUGACGGUACCCGCAGAAUAAGCCCUGGCUAACUUCGUGCCAGCCGCCGCGGUAA
RNAcentral lists this ribosomal RNA (447 nucleotides) under uncultured bacterium. Its description in RNAcentral is "partial 16S ribosomal RNA". It matches the Rfam family "Bacterial small subunit ribosomal RNA", at positions 29 to 523 of the family's 1533-position model. The record is from RNAcentral.